Long non-coding RNA from Onychostoma macrolepis, 881 nucleotides. RefSeq lists it as uncharacterized. The transcript has 3 exons. NCBI's taxonomy places the organism in Eukaryota, Metazoa, Chordata, Actinopteri, Cypriniformes, Cyprinidae. The record is from RefSeq and is a predicted model, not a curated record.
ACAAAAUAAAAGUCACGCAUUUUAAAGCUAAAAAUGUCUGAGAUGAUUCAAAACCCAAAACACGCAGAGUUGCAUUUAUUUACAAGCAACAUAUUAAGGCCAGUAAAUCUCCUAAACUGAAGCUUUUGUCUUCUCCAGAUGUUAACUGAUGGACUGGAGUGGUGUGGAUUAUUGUGAUGUUUUUAUCAGACUCUCAUUCUGACGGCACCCAUUCACUGCAGAGCAUCCAUUGCUGAGACACUGAUGCAGAGACACAUUUCUACAAACCUGAUGAAGAAACAAACUCCUCCUGAUCUCAGAUGAACUGAGGCGAACAGAUGUCUAUAGAGAAAAACAUCUUGAAGAAGAUGAUGCACAUCUGCGGUCAGAAGAAACAGCUGCUGCCUGUGAUUUAGGUAAGUUAUGUUUUUAUUAUCAGGGUUGCUGGUCUGUUUAUCAGCAGUGAAGAUGCUGGGUGGCUUGUUGAAACACAAAUAUUGUUGUUUUGAAAUCACUGUAUUUCUGUAUUGUGCGCUGCUGCUGUAGAGUCUGUUUCAGUCAAUUCAGUUCAUAGAGAUCAGCUGAAUCUUUCAUUCUCAGUUAAAACAACACAGAACUAAAUGUUUUGGGUUCUUCUUCCAGUUUGUUUGUGUUAGAAAAAGCAUAUUAUAACAGAAAUAGCUGUUAUAGAAGUUUUAUGUAAAAUCAACGUGGUGCCAAAGUUACUGCUUGCAAUGAUGGUUUACUGCACUCGUUCAAUACAUUACUGAUGAAGAAAAUACAUUUUAGGCUCUGAAGUCUCAUACAAAAUGGGUAUAAAUAUGGUCAGUUAUAUAUAGGGCUUUAUACAAUACAGUUUGGUUAAAAGCAGCUUUACAUUAAUAAACAAGAAAACAGCAUGU